Molecule: RNA transcript, 7402 nt
Organism: Pteronotus mesoamericanus
Lineage: Eukaryota; Metazoa; Chordata; Mammalia; Chiroptera; Mormoopidae
Gene: ZC3H11A
Gene name: zinc finger CCCH-type containing 11A
Exons: 2
Source: RefSeq, a predicted model, not a curated record
AGACCCGUUUUUUGAUUCCCGGGUGGCUUGGGGCCGGGGAGGUUGGGGAGCGGGCGAGGGGAGUGGCCGCGGCCUCCCCUCGCCCCUGGGUAGCUGCCUAGCCCGGGAAGUCAUAGCGGGUCCUUCGACCCAGCCGUACCCUUCUAUCCUCCCUCCCCGCCCCCCCAACUGCCCUCACCGGGGCGGGCGGGGAGCCCCGGACGCCCAGUUCCUGUCCACCCCACCUCCACCCCUGCCCACCUCACCCCACCCCCACCGCGCUUGCUCCCUUCCCAGCCAACCUUCCUCCCCUCCCCCACAUCCGGUUUUGGCGAAACUGGGAGCCCAGAACGGCCCAGCAAGCUGACUUGCUCCUCGAUUCUCGGAACCAGAACUGAUACUAGAUUGAUUUCUUCGGGGAUGUAGUUUCCUUAGUUCAGCGGACCCCCACUGCUUAAAUUAACCAGAGUGCCAGGAGCUGAAUUUACAUACUCUCAUUCCUCUCCAGGGUCCCACUACUUUGGAGGUUUUCUCAAAACUCCACAUACAGAAAGCCACCUACCUUAUUCCGGUAUCCUACACCCCUUCCCUAUCUUAAUUAUACUCCCACCCCCCAGCCCUCAGCAUCGGACUCAAGAGCAACAGGGACACUUCCGUUCUACUUUUGGGAUUGAUGAAACCGUAAUGAAGAACACCCCCUAAACUCCCGUAAUCGGUGCGGAUUCCUAUGGGGAAGGCCCAUAUCACUGACAUCUUCCAGGCCUUGGCUCUGGACCUUGAGAGGCUGUGGAAAUAGUGAUAGCGAUGCUUUUUAGGGUAAAUGUAUGUAGGUAUUGGGGGAAGGGGAGGGAUCAACCGAGAAGGAAUGGAAGUGGUUUAAAGCUCAUUUCAGUUUUUGCUGUUCAUAUACAGUCAAUUUAUUCAUUUACAGGCCGUAAAACUUUAUCUAGUCUAAAAGUGUCUGAAAACUAAACUUGCAUUAAUUCUUGAUACAAACAGUAAAAUAAUGCGCCUUAUGAUAUUGAUUUUAAUUUUACUCUUAAAGCAUUUUUUUUAAGCCAACUACAUUUUUAAAAACUAUUACUUAGGUAGAGCUGAGAGGGGUCCAACUAGCAUUUGUUGUUAAUGACCAGUAUGUGGAGUCUGGUUUAGCAGUCCAGAAUUGACUUUUGGGUUGUAUUCACAAUUAACAGGCCUAAUGAUCAAUGUUGAAUGAUGCACUAUGUUUUUGUUUAAGUGAAAUUUCCUGAAAAUUAAUUUCAGAAUUAAUGGAAAUUGAUGUUGCUAUUGUGAGGCAUCAUAAAAAUACAUAUUUUAAAAGCUGAAGGCAUUUCAAACAGAUAUAGUUCUUGAUGAAGCAGAAAGAACAUGGGCCAGGGAUUUGGAAAACCUGGCUUCUAGCUGGUACUGAUCGACUCUGGGAAAAUGGGCCUCAGUUUUUUUUUCUGUAACAUGAGGAGAUUGAAUGAUUUGAAUUCAGAACUCAGAAAGUUGGAAGGGAUUUUAAAGCCCUCUGAGAAAGAUUUUGGGAAUGUUCUCCAUUGCUGUCACUUUUCCUCCAAAUAUAUCCUGGCUUGGAAGUCAUUGGUCCAAAGGGAAUUUGAUUCCCCAUAGAAAUUGGAGAAUAGGUAAUGCAAAUAGAGAGGAACAGCUGUAUUUCUGCUUGAGUAAUAAACCCACUAACAGAUUCUGGUACGAAUUUUGGGGACAUAAAGAGAAUGAGUAUAUGUACCCUAAGUGUACCAGUUUCUUCACUCUCUCCUGGCAGAAGAUGCAGCACUUUCAGUGGUGCUGGGAUUCUGGGAUGUGUUCCUGUUAAUUCUAAUACAGAUAAAGAAGAUAUGGUAGAGAGAAAGAUGGUGGCAGAAGGAAUGGAUAAAGAGGCAAAAUUGCCUGCUAAAAAGAAAAGAAAGAAGGGUUUGCGACUAAAGGGGAAAAGGCGACGAAAGAAACUGAUCCUUGUGAAAAAGUUUAGUAAGGAUUUGGGAUCUGGGAGGCCUGUUGCAGAUGCUCCUGCUUUGUUAGCUUCCGGUGGCCCUGAGCACGAUGAAGAGCGUCUUUUUGAGAGCAAUAUAGAAAAACAGAUCUAUCUACCUAGUACUAGAGCCAAGACCUCCAUUGUGUGGCACUUCUUUCACGUUGACCCUCAGUACACCUGGCGGGCUAUUUGUAACCUCUGUGAAAAAAGUGUAAGCAGGGGUAAACCAGGCAGCCAUCUUGGGACAUCUACUCUUCAACGACAUCUGCAGGCAAGGCAUUCACCUCACUGGACAAGGGCCAACAAAUUUGGAGUCACUAGUGGGGAGGAGGAUUUCACUUUAGAUGUACCUUUAUCUCCCUCUUCUGCUGGAAGCAAUGGAAGCUUUGAAUAUAUUCCUACUGAUCCAUUAGAUGAUAAUAGAAUGGGUAAGAAACGUGAUAAAUCAGUAUCUGAUGCCCUGAGGGCGGAAAGGGGGAGAUUUCUCAUCAAAAGUAACAUUGUCAAGCAUGCCUUAAUUCCUGGAACAAGAGCCAAGACAUCUGCAGUUUGGAAUUUUUUUUAUACUGAUCCUCAGCACAUCUCAAGAGCUGUGUGUAAUAUAUGUAAAAGAAGUGUGAGCCGGGGUAGGCCAGGUUCUCACUUAGGAACUUCAACACUUCAACGACACCUACAGGCCACACAUCCCAUCCACUGGGCUGUUGCCAAUAAAGACAGUGGUGCAGUUGGAAAUGGAUUAGAUGAGGCUGAGACUGAGAGAAAUCCCUUGAGUGAUACUUUGCAUGGAGAGAAGUCUACAGGCAGCCAAGAUUUAACAACUGAAGACCUUAGUGACUCUGAUUCAGAUGAACCUCCUGUGUUAGAGGUCGAAAAUAGGAGAUCUGAGAGUCCUGUUCCUGUUGCAGAGCAAAGUGCUCUGAUGCAUGUCCAGGAGAGAGAAACAACAUAUCGUGAAAAGUCAGUCUCCAGUCAAAUAAGUCAGGCGAUUAUUCAAAUGAUUGUGGAGGAUAUGCAUCCUUACAACUACUUCUCAACCCCAGCCUUUCAGAGAUUCAUGCAGAUUGUGGCCCCUGACUAUAGGUUACCAUCUGAGACUUACUUCUUCACUAAGGCUGUACCUCAAUUAUAUGAUUCUGUCAGAGAAAAAAUUUUCUUAACUCUGGAGAAUGUUCAAAGCCAAAAGAUCCACCUCACUGUGGACAUAUGGACCCAUGACCCGUCCACUGACUAUUUUAUUGUGACUGUACACUGGGUCUCCUUGGACACUGCACCUUCUUCCAAUAAUGGCUGGAUCCCCAGUUUUAGAAAAUGGGCAGUGCUUUGUGUAACAGGUUUGGCCAAAGACUGUUUGGUAACCAACAUUUUACAAGAAUUAAAUGACCAGAUUGGUCUCUGGCUUUCUCCUAAUUUCCUCAUUCCUAGCUUCAUUGUUUCUGACAAUUCCUCUAAUGUGGUACAUGCAAUCAAAGAUGGUGGUUUUACCCAUGUACCGUGCUUCCUGCGUUGUUUAAAUAUAGUCAUUCAGGAUUUUUUCUGUGAGCACAAAAGUAUUGAAAAUAUGUUAGUGGCUGCUAGGAAAACCUGUCAUCAUUUUAGUCAUUCAGUCAAGGCCCGUCAGAUACUGCAAGAGUUCCAAAAUGAUCGCCAACUUCCAUGGAAGAAUUUGAAGCAGGAUGAAACUGGCCAUUGGAUUUCUACUUUUUAUAUGUUGAAAUGGCUAUUGGAGCAUUGCUACUCAGUUCACCAUAGUCUUGGUAGAGCCAGUGGUGUUGUACUCACCUCUCUUCAGUGGACUCUAAUGACUUAUGUUUGUGAUAUUCUUAAACCAUUUGAAGAGGCCACACAGAAAGUGAGUGUGAAGACCGCAGGACUGAAUCAGGUGCUACCCCUAAUCCAUCAUCUGCUCCUUUCCCUGCAGAAACUCAGAGAAGAUUUUCAAGUCAGAGGUAUUACACAGGCCCUCAAUCUGGUGGACAGUUUAUCUCUGAAACUUGAAACUGACACCCUACUAAGUGCCAUGCUCAAAUCUAAGCCCUGUAUCUUGGCUGCUUUGUUAGAUCCUUGCUUUAAAAAUAGUUUGGAAGAUUUUUUCCCUCAAGGUGCUAAUUUAGAAACUUAUAAGCAGAUUCUUGCAGAAGAAGUUUGUAACUAUAUGGAAUCUUCACCAGAGGUCUGCCAUAUUCCAACCUCAGAAGCUUCUGGUCCCUCAGCUAUAGUAGAAACUAAUUCAUUUAUUUCAUCUACAAGGGAAGGCACCUCCAGUUCAGGGUCCCUUGAUAGCUCAGCUGCAGAUAAUGUUGGUGUUGGAGGCAAAAGUUUCAUGUUUCCUUCUGCUGUAGCGGUAGUGGAUGAAUACUUCAAAGAGAAGUAUUCGGAGAUCUCAGGAGGUGAUGACCCUUUGAUUUACUGGCAGAGGAAGGUGAACAUAUGGCCAGCUUUGACCCAAGUCGCCAUUCAGUAUCUAAGCUGCCCUAUGUGUAGUUGGCAAUCUGAAUGUAUCUUUACUGCAAAUAGCCACUUUCAUCCAAAACAGAUCAUGAGUCUGGACUUUGACAAUAUAGAACAGCUGAUGUUUCUGAAAAUGAACUUGAAAAAUGUUAAAUAUGAUUAUUCUACAUUGGUUCUGAGCUGGGAUCCUGAGAAUGAAGUUGUUCAAAGCAAUUAAAAAGAAAUAUUAUCUUAAUUUCUUUUUUCCUUUCUCCAUUUAAAAUGGGCAACUUCUUGCUCUGUUACUGUAUUCUAAUUGCUAUAGUUGUUACAUACAGUUAACUAAAUAUUCUUUAUACAUGAGUCUGGGGAAAUAUGAAAAUACAAAAAAGGCUGAAACUUCUUCAGAGGUAAUGUUGAUAAAGUGAAGAUUAGCUUUAAUGAUUUCACAGUACUAACUCAAUGUAGCUGUCACUUGAAAUUUUGUUUAUACCAGUUGAGAAAAAAAUUUUUUAAUUAAAAAAAUAUAGUGCAGCAUUGAAAGUCCUUGGGCUAUUUCUGACUGGUAAACUGAAUUAGUAAUUGGUUUUAAGUAAAAAUUUCUCCCAACAUGGAAAGUUUGAUUGCUCUGAAACCAAUGAUAUUGAGGGAAAAAAUAUAUUAAGCUGAUUCCUACCCCCACCCCCAUUUUUCUAUUUCUUUAAAAAUCCUAUUUGUCCUUACAGCUUGGAAAAACAAAACUCACAAAAUUGUUAUACAUUUGGAAAUUUCUAAUUGCCUCCUCAUACUGGUCAGCUUAAUAAUUUCAGUUUAUUGAGUUACCCUUUAUAGGAUUAGAUCUAUAUAAAUAAAAGAGAAACAUUAGAAAACAAUUAGGAAAAUUACUUUUAAUCUUUGAGUUACCUUUUUCUUUAUAAAACUGUAAAAACAAAGAUUGUAUAUAGGUACUUUUGCCUAAUUAUGGGGUAAAUGACAUAGUAAAAAGUUUACAAAAUUGAAGAAGAUUGAAUGGGUAUUAAAAUAAAAGUCCCAUCCAUAAGCAUACCUUAAUAGACCUAGUAUCCAUUUUCCAAAGAAUGUUUUUCUGAUAUUAAUUGAUCUUAAAUGCUUUUAAAAAUAUGCUGAAUUAUCCAUAAAACAGUAUUCUUAACUAUUAAAUUAAUUAUGUUUUGACCUCUAUUCUUAACUAAAAAUAAGCAAUCAAUAUUUUCAUGUGUUAGGAAUCAUUUCCUCACUGGUAAAAUGAGAGAAUUGAUCUCAGUAAUUUUUAAGAUCCCUUUCCACUCUGAAAGUAUGUUUCUGUGAUUGAGUGGGAGGCCAGAAAUGAUGACUUUUAAUAAGUCUAUUAAAAGUUUCAGACUGAAUAACUAAUGUAAGAUCCCAAUUUUUCCUUUUUUUCAUUUUAGAUUUGGGGAUAUUCCCUGCCCAAAAAUUUCCUGGAAAAUUGACUAGUAUUAAGUGUGAGUAAAAGGUGUCCACUUUUUUUAAGUUUUGAUUUUAGUUUUGUCUUGGAUAGUAUUUGGCAAGAUUUAGCCUAGAAAUAAUGUAGUAUCUAUAACAUGAGCAUCAAAAUCGCUUUGUUACUGGGCUGGUUUCAAAAUUUAGAAUUCAUUUCUAUGUAUCAAAUCGGUUUUUUUUUUUUUUUAAUGGUAAAUGUACCAUUGUGGAAUGAAAUUUCAACUUCAAAAGUUUACCCUUUUACUAACUGGAGUAUAUGGAUAAUUAAUUACAACAUCUUUAGUUGUAGCCAUCACUAGUAAAGAAUUGGAAACUAGGCUGCAUCAGCAAGCCUUUGCAGGGCCAAUAUUGAAUUUCAUGCCAGUCGACACUGGUGUUACUAUAACAGAAAAAAAAAACUUCCCUUAAUAGAAGCUUUCUGUAUUUUGACAGUGCCAGUUCAGUAUGGCUAUAAUGCUGCUCUGCCUUCUACAGCUUGCUGCACCACUCUGUAGUUACUCUGUAACUAUACGUUUCUAUCUUUUUUGGUUAAACACUCCCUGAAGAUGGAAAAGAUGUUGAUGGUAUACAUACAUCCAUAUUUAUACACAAUGAUAUAUGUGUAAGGAUUUCCCUUCAUCUUUAUUUUGUGGGCUGGGCAAAAUUUUGUGUAACAUAUUAAUAUACUUUGUAAUACUUUGGUAAAAGAGUAAGUUCACUACUUUUAUAAUGAAUCCAAAUCUAAAGGCUUUUGUAGGGUAUUUUAAAAGGGAAAACUUAACCAAAUGUUUUAUUUCUACACAUUUGUAUGUGUGUGUGUGUAUGUGUGUGUGUGUGUGUGUAAGCCAGUUAGUAUAUAUGUAUGUCAUGUACAUAAAACACUUUAUAUUUUUACAUACAAGUAUGCUUUUAUUUAUACAGAUAAUAAAGAUGGGGGAAGAUUUCUGUUUUUUUCUUAAUAGGUGAAGAAAUCUUGAAGACCAGAAAUUGGAUCUUAUUGAAUUUUGGUGUUUUUUAAAAAAUUUUUUCUUUUUUUUUUUUUUUUAAUUUUUAAAUUAUAUUGUUCGGCUAUGGAAGAUGGAUUUUUAAAAAAAUAAUCUUUUGACUCUAAAGUUCAUAUUUAAAUGAACUUUUUUGUUUGUUUGUUUUUUGUGUGUUUUUGUUUUUUGUUUUUGAGGAGAUAACUAGCCCUAGCUGUCUCCAGUCUGUGACAAAGGUUAUUCAAAUGGACUUAAUCUUCCAGUAGUUGGGAGAUGUUUUAAAAACACAUCCUGUGUUUGAAUUGUGGCUGAGAGGUUUCCUUGGCAAUGUGAGGAGGAAAAUUCUUUCUGCCUCAUUAUUAUUAAUUCAUGGAUUGAGUGUUGGUUCGACCUACAGGCGUGAUAGAUUGGAACUCAGUGAAGACACAGAUGUUCCCGUUGAGAACAACCAGCUAAUGAUUACAUUUUAAAGGCGAUUUCUCUGAUUGAGUUGUCUUUUGGAAGAUAAAUCCAUUUCAAGAGGACUUGAAGCUGGUCCUCACCUUGAGGAAGCGGUGGCUUGUUUGCAAGAAGUCACUUCUGAUCUCAGGAUCUACCCAGG